RNAcentral lists this ribosomal RNA (467 nucleotides) under uncultured bacterium. RNAcentral's name for it is "bacterial SSU rRNA". It matches the Rfam family "Bacterial small subunit ribosomal RNA", at positions 28 to 483 of the family's 1533-position model. The record is from RNAcentral.
GAUGAACGCUAGCGAUAGGCCUAACACAUGCAAGUCGAGGGGCAUCACAUGAAGUAGCAAUACGGAUGGUGGCGACCGGCGCACGGGUGAGUAACACGUAUGCAACCUGCCUUCAACAAGGGGAUAACCCGUUGAAAGACGGACUAAUACCCUAUAACACAGGGGUCCCGCAUGGGAAUAUUUGUUAAAGGACAACCGGUUGAAGAUGGGCAUGCGUUCCAUUAGCUAGUUGGCGGGGUAACGGCCCACCAAGGCAACGAUGGAUAGGGGAACUGAGAGGUUUAUCCCCCACACUGGUACUGAGACACGGACCAGACUCCUACGGGAGGCAGCAGUGAGGAAUAUUGGUCAAUAGACGCAAGUCUGAACCAGCCACGUCGCGUGAAGGAAGACGGCCCUACGGGUUGUAAACUCUUUUAUACGGGAAUAAAGUGCCCCACGCGUGGGGUUUUGGUCAUGUACCGUAU